RNAcentral lists this ribosomal RNA (253 nucleotides) under uncultured bacterium. RNAcentral describes it as "partial 16S ribosomal RNA". It matches the Rfam family "Bacterial small subunit ribosomal RNA", at positions 524 to 776 of the family's 1533-position model. The record is from RNAcentral.
UACGAAGGGGGCUAGCGUUGCUCGGAAUCACUGGGCGUAAAGGGUGCGUAGGCGGUUCUUUAAGUCUGGGGUGAAAUCCUGGAGCUCAACUCCAGAACUGCCUUUGAUACUGAGGAUCUUGAGUUCGGGAGAGGUGAGUGGAACUGCGAGUGUAGAGGUGAAAUUCGUAGAUAUUCGCAAGAACACCAGUGGCGAAGGCGGCUCACUGGCCCGAUACUGACGCUGAGGCACGAAAGCGUGGGGAGCAAACAGG